RNAcentral lists this ribosomal RNA (468 nucleotides) under uncultured bacterium. RNAcentral's name for it is "partial 16S ribosomal RNA". It matches the Rfam family "Bacterial small subunit ribosomal RNA", at positions 28 to 507 of the family's 1533-position model. The record is from RNAcentral.
GACGAACGCUGGCGGCGUGCUUAACACAUGCAAGUCGAACGGAAAGGCCCUGCUUUUGUGGGGUGCUCGAGUGGCGAACGGGUGAGUAACACGUGAGUAACCUGCCCUUGACUUUGGGAUAACUUCAGGAAACUGGGGCUAAUACCGGAUAGGAGCUCCUGCUGCAUGGUGGGGGUUGGAAAGUUUCGGCGGUUGGGGUUGGACUCGCGGCUUAUCCGCUUGUUGGUGGGGUAGUGGCUUAGCAAGGCUUUGACGGGUAGCCGGCCUGAGAGGGUGACCGGCCACAUUGGGACUGAGGUACGGCCCAGACUCCUACGGGAGGCAGCGGUGGGAAAUAUUGCACGAUGGGCGGAAGCCUGAUGCAGCAACGCCGCGUGCGGGAUGACGGCUUUCGGGUUGUAAACCGCUUUCGCCUGUGACGAAGCGUGAGUGACGGUAAUGUGUAAAGAAGCACCGGCUAACUACGUG